RNAcentral lists this ribosomal RNA (274 nucleotides) under uncultured bacterium. Its description in RNAcentral is "partial 16S ribosomal RNA". It matches the Rfam family "Bacterial small subunit ribosomal RNA", at positions 523 to 796 of the family's 1533-position model. The record is from RNAcentral.
AAACGUAGGACGCAAACGUUAUCCGGAGUUACUGGGCGUAAAGAGCGUGUAGGCGGAUCAUCAAGUCGGUUAUGAAAGCUCCGGGCUAAACCGGGAGAGGUUGACCGAGACUGAGGAUCUAGAGUGCGAGAGAGGGGUGCGGAAUUCCAGGUGUAGCGGUGAAAUGCGUAGAUAUCUGGAAGAACACCGGUGGCGAAGGCGGUUCUCUGGUCAUGAUUUGACGCUAAAGCGCGAAAGCGUGGGGAGCGAACAGGAUUAGAAACCCCUGUAGUCC